GCGCAAUAGAUGAUAGGUCAAAACCUUUGAUCUUCACCAUGGCGAGGUUAGACAAAGUGAAAAAUAUUACUGGAUUGGUUGAGCUGUAUGGCAAGAAUGACAGACUGAGGGAGCUAGCAAACCUUGUUGUCGUUGGUGGUUAUGUUGACGUGAAGAAUUCCAAAGACAGGGAAGAAAUGAGAGAAAUUGAGAAAAUGCAUGACCUCAUGAAAAAGUACAACUUACAUGGUCAAUUGCGUUGGAUAUCGGCUCAAACAAAUCGAGCUCGUAAUGGCGAGUUAUAUCGCUAUAUUGCUGACACAAGAGGUGUAUUUG
RNAcentral lists this unclassified non-coding RNA (315 nucleotides) under Hevea brasiliensis (rubber tree). The record is from RNAcentral. Lineage: Eukaryota; Viridiplantae; Streptophyta; Magnoliopsida; Malpighiales; Euphorbiaceae.